RNAcentral lists this ribosomal RNA (389 nucleotides) under uncultured methanogenic archaeon. Its description in RNAcentral is "bacterial SSU rRNA". It matches the Rfam family "Archaeal small subunit ribosomal RNA", at positions 22 to 449 of the family's 1478-position model. The record is from RNAcentral. Lineage: Archaea; Methanobacteriati; Methanobacteriota.
GGGGGUCGGGGUGAGGGUCGAUGAGCAUGCGAGUCGAGAGGGUGGGCACGGCGUACUGCUCAGGAGCUACCCUCCCCUAGGUAGGGGAAACCCCGGGAACUGCAUAAUACCCUAUAGAUUACAGAUGCUGGAAUGCCCUGUAAUCCAAAGUUCCGACGCCCUAGGAUGGAUCUGCGGCCGAUUAGGUUGUUGUUGGGGUAAUGGCCCAACAAGCCCGUAAUCGGGACGGGGUGUGGGAGCAAGAGCCCGGAGUUGGAUUCUGAGACACGAAUCCGGGCCCUACGGGCGCAGCGGGCGGAAAACUUUACAAUGCGGCAGCGGGAUAAGGGAACCUCCAGUGCCUUUAAUGCGGCUUUAGGCCCUAAACACCCUGAGAAAGGGCCGGCAAA